GCAUGGAUGAGAAGGGAGGGAGGGAGGCCACGCUGUUCAGACUUCCUGACAACAACCAACAGAUGGACCCGUCAAUUCAAAUCCCCAAUUAGAGACUUCUAUUCAGGCCUUAUGUAAGAGGGCUGUCACUGGUACGUUAGCUGUAUAGCUAAAAGGGGUUACCAUAUUCUGUCACUGGUACGUUAGCUGUAUAGCUAAAGAGGGUUACCAUAUUCUGUCACUGGUACGUUAGCUGUAUAGCUAAAGAGGGUUACCAUAUUCUGUCACUGGUACGUUAGCUGUAUAGCUAAAGAGGGUUACCAUAUUCUGUCACUGAUACGUUAGCUGUAUAGCUAAAGAGGGUUACCAUAUUCUGUCACUGGUACGUUAGCUGUAUAGCUAAAGAGGUUUACCAUAUUCUGUCACUGGUACGUUAGCUGUAUAGCUAAAGAGGUUUACCAUAUUCUGUCACUGGUACGUUAGCUUUAUAGCUAAAGAGGGUUACCAUAUUCUGUCACUGGUACGUUAGCUGUAUAGCUAAAGAGGUUUACCAUAUUCUGUCACUGGUACGUUAGCUUUAUAGCUAAAGAGGGUUACCAUAUUCUGUCACUGGUACGUUAGCUUUAUAGCUCAAGAGGGUUACCAUAUUCUGGUACGUUAGCUGUAUAGCUAAGAGGGUUACCAUAUUCUGUGACUGGUAUGUGACAGGGUAGCCUGGUGGUUAGAGCGUUGGACUAGUAACCGAAAGGUUGCAAGUUCAAAUCCCCUAGCUGACAAGGUACAAAUCUGUCGUUCUGCCCCUGAACAAGGCAGUUAGCCCACUGUUCCUAGGCCGGCAUUGAAAAUAAGAUUUUGUUCUUAACUGACUUGCCUAAUAAAGGUAAAAUAAAAUAAAUAAAAAUGGUAGCUUUAUAGCUAAAGAGGUUUACCAUAUUCUGGUACGUUAGCUUUAUAGCUAAAGAGGGUUACCAUAUUCUGUCACUCUGUACAGUAUCUAGCAUCACAUUGAGGCUGAAUUAUGGUGAAACAUACAGUAUAAAUGACUGUAACAUACAGUAUAAAUGAUUAUAACAUACAGUAUAAAUGAUUAUAACAUACAGUAUAAAUGAUUAUAACAUACAGUAUAAAUGAUUAUAACAUACAGUAUAAAUGAUUAUAACAUACAGUAUAAAUGACUGUAACAUACAGUAUAAAUGACUGUAACAUACAGUAUAAAUGACUGUAACAUACAGUAUAAAUGAUUAUAACAUACAGUAUAAAUGACUAACAUACAGUAUAAAUGAUUGUAACAUACAGUAUAAAUGAUUGUAACAUACAGUAUAAAUGAUUAUAACAUACAGUAUAAAUGAUUGUAACAUACAGUAUAAAUGAUUGUAACAUACAGUAUAAAUGAUUAUAACAUACAGUAUAAAUGAUUGUAACAUACAGUAUAAAUGAUUAUAACAUACAGUAUAAAUGAUUAUAACAUACAGUAUAAAUGAUUGUAACAUACAGUAUAAAUGACUGUAACAUACAGUAUAAAUGAUUAUAACAUACAGUAUAAAUGACUGUAACAUACAGUAUAAAUGAUUAUAACAUACAGUAUAAAUGGUUAUAACAUACAGUAUAAAUGAUUGUAACAUACAGUAUAAAUGAUUGUAACAUACAGUAUAAAUGAUUAUAACAUACAGUAUAAAUGAUUGUAACAUACAGUAUAAAUGAUUGUAACAUACAGUAUAAAUGAUUAUAACAUACAGUAUAAAUGGUUAUAACAUACAGUAUAAAUGAUUGUAACAUACAGUAUAAAUGAUUGUAACAUACAGUAUAAAUGAUUGUAACAUACAGUAUAAAUGAUUGUAACAUACAGUAUAAAUGAUUGUAACAUACAGUAUAAAUGAUUAUAACAUACAGUAUAAAUGAUUGUAACAUACAGUAUAAAUGAUUGUAACAUACAGUAUAAAUGAUUGUAACAUACAGUAUAAAUGAUUAUAACAUACAGUAUAAAUGAUUAUAACAUACAGUAUAAAUGAUUGUAACAUACAGUAUAAAUGAUUGUAACAUACAGUAUAAAUGAUUGUAACAUACAGUAUAAAUGAUUGUAACAUACAGUAUAAAUGAUUGUAACAUACAGUAUAAAUGACUGUAACAUACAGUAUAAAUGAUUGUAACAUACAGUAUAAAUGAUUAUAACAUACAGUAUAAAUGAUUGUAACAUACAGUAUAAAUGAUUAUAACAUACAGUAUAAAUGGUUAUAACAUACAGUAUAAAUGACUGUAACAUACAGUAUAAAUGAUUGUAACAUACAGUAUAAAUGAUUAUAACAUACAGUAUAAAUGAUUGUAACAUACAGUAUAAAUGAUUGUAACAUACAGUAUAAAUGAUUAUAACAUACAGUAUAAAUGAUUGUAACAUACAGUAUAAAUGAUUAUAACAUACAGUAUAAAUGAUUAUAACAUGCAGUAUAAAUGACUGUAACAUACAGUAUAAAUGACUAACAUACAGUAUAAAUGACUAACAUACAGUAUAAAUGACUGUAACAUACAGUAUAAAUGAUUAUAACAUACAGUAUAAAUGAUUGUAACAUACAGUAUAAAUGACUGUAACAUACAGUAUAAAUGACUGUAACAUACAGUAUAAAUGAUUAUAACAUACAGUAUAAAUGACUGUAACAUACAGUAUAAAUGACUGUAACAUACAGUAUAAAUGACUGUAACAUACAGUAUAAAUGACUGUAACAUACAGUAUAAAUGACUGUAACAUACAGUAUAAAUGACUGUAACAUACAGUAUACAUGACUGUAACAUACAGUAUACAUGACUGUAACAUACAGUAUACAUGACUGUAACAUACAGUAUACAUGACUGUAACAUACAGUAUAAAUGAUUAUAACAUACAGUAUAAAUGAUUAUAACAUACAGUAUAAAUGAUUAUAACAUACAGUAUAAAUGAUUAUAACAUACAGUAUAAAUGAUUAUAACAUACAGUAUAAAUGACUGUAACAUACAGUAUAAAUGACUAACAUACAGUAUAAAUGACUGUAACAUACAGUAUAAAUGACUGUAACAUACAGUAUAAAUGACUGUAACACCCCAUCCUGUUGAUAGAACCAUAUAGGGCCAAAGGUUGAACACGCGGAGCAACACUGAUUCAGGCAACGGGUGAAAUAACAUGGGAAAAAUGCUUGCUACGCUGCUCCCAUUUUCAGCUAUUUUCUUUCCCUGGCCUGUCUCUGUCUCUGUUUAAACCCUCUCUUCUCUUUCCCUGGCCUGUCUCUGUCUCUGUUUAAACCCUCUCUUCUCUUUCCCUGGCCUGUCUCUGUCUCUGUUUAAACCCUCUCUUCUCUUUCCCUGGCCUGUCUCUGUUCAGAUGUUUAAACCCUCUCUUCUCUUUCCCUGGCCUGUCUCUGUCUCUGUUUAAACCCUCUCUUCUCUUUCCCUGGCCUGUCUCUGUCUCUGUCCAGAUGUUUAAACCCUCUCUUCUCUUUCCCUGGCCUGUCUCUGUCUCUGUUCAGAUGUUUAAACCCUCUCUUCUCUUUCCCUGGCCUGUCUCUGUCUCUGUCCAGAUGUUUAAACCCUCUCUUCUCUUUCCCUGGCCUGUCUCUGUCUCUGUUUAAACCCUCUCUUCUCUUUCCCUGGCCUGUCUCUGUCUCUGUUCAGAUGUUUAAACCCUCUCUUCUCUUUCCCUGGCCUGUCUCUGUCUCUGUUCAGAUGUUUAAACCCUCUCUUCUCUUUCCCUGGCCUGUCUCUGUCCAGAUGUUUAAACCCUCUCUUCUCUUUCCCUGGCCUGUCUCUGUUCAGAUGUUUAAACCCUCUCUUCUCUUUCCCUGGCCUGUCUCUGUCUCUGUCCAGAUGUUUAAACCCUCUCUUCUCUUUCCCUGGCCUGUCUCUGUCUCUGUUCAGAUGUUUAAACCCUCUCUUCUCUUUCCCUGGCCUGUCUCUGUCCAGAUGUUUAAACCCUCUCUUCUCUUUCCCUGGCCUGUCUCUGUCCAGAUGUUUAAACCCUCUCUUCUCUUUCCCUGGCCUGUCUCUGUCUCUGUUCAGAUGUUUAAACCCUCUCUUCUCUUUCCCUGGCCUGUCUCUGUCUCUGUUCAGAUGUUUAAACCCUCUCUUCUCUUUCCCUGGCCUGUCUCUGUCUCUGUUCAGAUGUUUAAACCCUCUCUUCUCUUUCCCUGGCCUGUCUCUGUCUCUGUUCAGAUGUUUAAACCCUCUCUUCUCUUUCCCUGGCCUGUCUCUGUCUCUGUCCAGAUGUUUAAACCCUCUCUUCUCUUUCCCUGGCCUGUCUCUGUCUCUGUUUAAACCCUCUCUUCUCUUUCCCUGGCCUGUCUCUGUCUCUGUUUAAACCCUCUCUUCUCUUUCCCUGGCCUGUCUCUGUUCAGAUGUUUAAACCCUCUCUUCUCUUUCCCUGGCCUGCCUCUGUUCAGAUGUUUAAACCCUCUCUUCUCUUUCCCUGGCCUGUCUCUGUCUCUGUCCAGAUGUUUAAACCCUCUCUUCUCUUUCCCUGGCCUGCCUCUGUUCAGAUGUUUAAACCCUCUCUUCUCUUUCCCUGGCCUGUCUCUGUCUCUGUUUAAACCCUCUCUUCUCUUUCCCUGGCCUGUCUCUGUUCAGA
Molecule: long non-coding RNA, 4564 nt
Organism: Oncorhynchus keta (chum salmon)
Lineage: Eukaryota; Metazoa; Chordata; Actinopteri; Salmoniformes; Salmonidae
Exons: 3
Source: RefSeq, a predicted model, not a curated record